This 401-nucleotide transfer-messenger RNA is filed under the name Marinilabiliaceae. RNAcentral describes it as "Geofilum sp012838865 Standard tmRNA". It matches the Rfam family "transfer-messenger RNA". From Rfam's summary of the family: Bacterial tmRNA, also known as 10Sa RNA or SsrA, is named for its dual tRNA and mRNA-like properties. Its role is to liberate the mRNA from a stalled ribosome. Lineage: Bacteria; Pseudomonadati; Bacteroidota; Bacteroidia; Marinilabiliales. The record is from RNAcentral. RNAcentral also lists the same sequence under 1 other name.
GGGGCUGACCUGGAUUUGACAGCAAGGCUAAGUGGUAAGUAAGCAUGCCGAGCAAUGGGAUACCGGCUCGUAAAUCAUGGAUCUCAACUUUUUUAACUGGCGAAUCUAAUUACGCUCUCGCCGCCUAAUCGAAGUACAGUAGAUGGGCAUUAUCCUUGCUCCAGGAGCUUGGACGAGACACUUCCCGGGUGCCAAUUCCUGAGGCGGCCCGAAUCGGAGGUGUAGAAAUAUCGGGAAUAGCCGGCGAGCGGCCUUUGCUCAAGGGCGAAACUUUAAGAGGCUAAGGAGUCGUCCGGGUGUCUGUUCCCAAACGACUCACGAAAACCAACAGCAGAAUAAGCAUGUAGAAAGCUUAUGGCUUACUUGUUUGGACGAGGGUUCGAUUCCCUCCAGCUCCACAC